GGGGGUAUAGCUCAGUUGGUAGAGCACUUGUAUGGCAUACAAGAGGCCAGCGGUUCGAACCCGCUUACCUCCACCA
This 76-nucleotide transfer RNA is filed under the name Candidatus Amphirhobacter heronislandensis. RNAcentral describes it as "Betaproteobacteria bacterium AqS2 (symbiont metagenome) tRNA-Ala". It matches the Rfam family "tRNA". Rfam says of the family: Transfer RNA (tRNA) molecules are approximately 80 nucleotides in length. Their secondary structure includes four short double-helical elements and three loops (D, anti-codon, and T loops). Further hydrogen bonds mediate the characteristic L-shaped molecular structure. tRNAs have two regions of fundamental functional importance: the anti-codon, which is responsible for specific mRNA codon recognition, and the 3' end, to which the tRNAs corresponding amino acid is attached (by aminoacyl-tRNA synthetases). tRNAs cope with the degeneracy of the genetic code in two manners: having more than one tRNA (with a specific anti-codon) for a particular amino acid; and 'wobble' base-pairing, i.e. permitting non-standard base-pairing at the 3rd anti-codon position. The record is from RNAcentral. Lineage: Bacteria; Pseudomonadati; Pseudomonadota; Gammaproteobacteria; Candidatus Tethybacterales; Candidatus Tethybacteraceae.